RNAcentral lists this ribosomal RNA (372 nucleotides) under uncultured organism. RNAcentral's name for it is "partial 16S ribosomal RNA". It matches the Rfam family "Bacterial small subunit ribosomal RNA", at positions 526 to 896 of the family's 1533-position model. The record is from RNAcentral.
GAGGGUUUGCAAGCGUUGUCCGGAAUUAUUGGGCGUAAAGCGUCUGUAGGUGUCCUGUCAAGUUUUCUGUAAAAUUCCAAUGCUCAACAUUGGAGCUGCAGAAAAACUGGCAGGAUCGAGGAAGGGAGAGGUAGAUGGAACUCACGGUGUAGUAGUGAAAUGCGUUAAUAUCGUGGGGAACACCAAUAGCGAAGGCUAUCUACUGGCCCUUUCCUGACACUGAGAGACGAAAGCGUGGGGUAGCGAAUGGGAUUAGAUACCCCAGUAGUCCACGCCGUAAACGAUGGAUACUAGACACAAGGAGAGUCGACCCUCUUCGUGUCGUAGCUAACGCGUUAAGUAUCCCCGCCUGGGAGUACGGUCGCAAGACUA